GAAGAAGAUGACUAUGCUUCAUACAGAUUUAGCCUGGAAUUCGUGGAGAUUCCUUCUCGAAAAAUAAUUUGGGGGAAAUGAAGUGAAAAUGAAUGGUUGCCAGUUCAUGACUCCUUCUCCAGAGGGGCAAGACGCAAUGAUCAAGAGUGGUGGCUCAACCGUACCAUCUAGUACAGACCUUCUAGAAUACAGCAGAACACUGGUUGCAAAUUUUGCCGCUUUGCAUUCUCAAGUCCAGAGUUUCACCAGCUGUCUGAGUUUCCAUACACUCCACCUCUUAUGUGUUGCUGAUUCCUUUUUUUUUUAAUUCUUCUUCUUUCUAGAGAGAGACCUUUUUGGAGCCGAACCUUUUGACCCUUUUAGCUGCGGAGCAGGAGAUUUCCCUCCAGACAUUCAAUCCAAACUAGACGAGAUGCAGGAGGGGUUCAAAAUGGGACUGACUCUGGAAGGCACAGUAUUUUGCCUUGACCCUCUAGACAGCAGGUGCUGAUGCCAGGAAAAGAACCGUGAAAAGAUAUCGCCAUCUCUUUUUUUUUAGGAGGGGGAAAAAAGUUUUAAAACGUAUUACAAAUACUGUCAAUGUGCCAAAAAUGUUUUUUUUCAACUUGUUCACUUUUGUGAGGUUUGCUUCUGUGAAACUCCAGAUAGGUUCCAGUGUUAUCCCUGUACAAAUGUAAAAAGUCACACGUGUAUAUGAAACCAAAAUGAAAUCACACUGCUGUCUUUCUUAGUCAUCUUCCGCCACCCAAUGGCAAUUCACCAUGUGCUGUGAAGUUCUUCGAACUAUUCAUGCAACGCUAUAGAAUCCCCUCAGUUGGUUUCUUCAUUCCCAGUAUGUAGGGCCCUGUUCAUACAUUUUUGUUGAAAAUCGCCCAGAUACUGCAUACCACAGUUCACGCAGUCCAUAAGUCCUUGUUUCUGGCCAUGAUUCAAGCUGCAGUGCGCUCUGUGGUUCUUCACAUAGACUUUCCCACAUUCAUGGCUGUACUUUAACAUAAAGGGAGUGAUGGAGGCAGUUCCAGUUUACUCUCCCAGCAUCACCUAUUUGAGGUGCUUCAGAUGUUGUCAGGCUCCAACUCUCAUCAGCUCCAACUAACAUGACUCUCAUCAACCCUAACUAACUAGCACGUUGGGAAGAUCGGAGCUGAAAACCAGCGACACCUGGGGAACCACAGAUUCCUUUCCUAGCUUUAAGAAUUUUGAUUAGGCGCAUAAGCUUAUUUUUACAUUCCUGGUGGUGUUUGUCGUUUGGAAUCUGCUUCACAAAAAGCUAUGUUUUUCAGUGGCGAGUGAUUGUCUGUUUUCACAUCUACAUGUGCACACAAGCGCUCUUCUGCACUCAGAAGCAUAUUUAGGAGGUGAGGUCCGAUAGCCGACUCCUCAACACAGAUGUUUUGGAAAUCCUGUUGAUUUCCAAGUGGAGGCAGUCUAAAAGUCACUGCUAGGUUGUGCAUGUCAAGUUGCUAUGUACAACGGGAAAAAUCCAGCUCAGAUUGCCUUAUGCACACACGCUUUAGCUAAGAGAAGACACCCUCGAUGUUUUGAGGUCAGGCCCUCUGCGAAUUCCAGAGGGUUUGAGAGUACAUCCUUCAGGAUCUUGGAAGCCUGGAGAAUCAUCUGGAAGCACACAAAGGAGUUCUGCUGCUGGGUCAUAUGGAACCCUAUGAAAGCUGCUUGGAUCAUACAUUUGGCAAAUAAGCUUACUGUGCAAUGUACAUGUCAUUUAUGGGUGCAUAAUUUGAUAACAAAUAACCCAGAGAAGAAUGGUGGGGACAGGUUAUCCUGUUGUCAUUUGUAAUUCUGUGCAGAAGCCCAUUCCUGAGCAUCAGUGUAUUUUUCUUCCACUAGCCUUCAAACUAGCAAUAAAUGAACAUUUCGUUUGUGCAUUUCUUGCAUUCACCGGUGGAAUUGUUCCUUCCUGUUUCCAUAUUUGCCAUCACUUUUCUCAUUUUUUAAAGUGUGUGUGUAUGUAUACACAUUUAUAUAUAUAUACAUAUAUAUGUAUAUACAAUAAUUUUUUUUGGGGGGGGGGAGAUUCCUCUCCUGUAAGGAUCCUUUCACUGAAAAGACUUUUGGGGGGUGGGGAGGGUGGAUGCGAAGGACAAAUAAGAGAAGACACUUAAGAGAUUAUUUUACUGCUUAUAUCUUUUAGACGGGGAGAAAAGAACUAGUUUUCUGGUACUUGGGUUGAAAAAAAUAAUAGCUUUUGACCUUAUAUUGUGAGGUUUACACAGAAAAUAGAAUGCAUUUAUGCAAUAUUAUUACCUUUUUUUAAAAAGCUUUGUUCCAGCCUCGGAAGACGCUUACGCAGAUGCCUGGACAGUCUGGGAUUCUUCACUUGCUUAAAGUUAAGCAUCUGCUUAGGCACUGCGGCUCCAGCGAGCCUUUCCUAUUUUUGCAUUGUGUUAAGUCUUCCUUCUUUUUCGUUGAUCGGUCUGAAUGUAUACCUAUAUCUAUGGACAGGAUCCAAAGAGAACUGCCUGCGUACGUAAAGUGCUUCUGCACAUGUACGGGGAAGAAUGCAGGCUCUCACAUCACACUGAACACCAUUCCAGAGGGUCGCCUGACUUUACAGAAACUGCCUUGGUGAGGACGCAAGGAUGGUGGCUGCAGUAGGAAGGUGUGGGACAAACACUUGCAGUGCGCAUGCAAAACACCACAAACAGUCCUUUGGAUCAUGGCCUAUGUGUCUGUCGAUAUAGUUAUAUACAUAUAUAUAUAUGGAAUCACUAAUGAGUAGAGUAGACUAUGUUUCCUAGAAAGAAAUCUAUAAUUUUGUUUGUCCUAUAGUAUUUUGCAAUUUGUACAACGAGGUUGUUUAGUAGCCAUAUCAAUGGCUUUUUAAAACAAAUAGAAUUUGUAUUUUUAUCGUACUUUUAAAAAAGAAAGCUUUACGUAAUAAGCAUAUAUUUAGGGGCCGUUUACUACGGAUGGUAACGAAACACUCAGAAAAUAUUUGCACAUUUUAAGAAACCUUUGUUUUACUGAUUUUUACGUGGGUUGAUUCUACGAAAUGCUAAAUAUGAUCUAACCGAUCUCGUCAGUACAAGGACACCUAAAUUAAUUCAGCGAGAAAGUACAUUUUUAACGAGAGGGUUCUAGUGUUCUGGUUGAAAUUUGUAUUUCUAUGUAAUCUCAAACUGUCUGUUUAAUUUUGCUCCGAAUAAAUGUUUUAAAUAAU
Molecule: non-coding RNA, 3181 nt
Organism: Podarcis muralis (Common wall lizard)
Lineage: Eukaryota; Metazoa; Chordata; Lepidosauria; Squamata; Lacertidae
Source: RefSeq, a predicted model, not a curated record